CUUCUGUACUUCCCGGCUCAAGCAAGAGCCACAGUGACUGGAACAACAGGAAAGCCACCUUAAUCGGUCAAGCAAGCAAUUUGAAUAGGGAUUAUGAUAUAUAUGAUCAUGCAACCAUCUCCGCAAGUCAGACCCAAAAACCCCGUGUCCUGAGUAUCGGAAAGAAAAGGAAGCCAAACCUGCCUAGCCCAAAUACAGUCACGUAAUGCAUGAAGCGGAGUCUCGGG
This 227-nucleotide unclassified non-coding RNA is filed under the name Hevea brasiliensis (rubber tree). Lineage: Eukaryota; Viridiplantae; Streptophyta; Magnoliopsida; Malpighiales; Euphorbiaceae. The record is from RNAcentral.